RNAcentral lists this ribosomal RNA (252 nucleotides) under uncultured bacterium. RNAcentral describes it as "partial 16S ribosomal RNA". It matches the Rfam family "Bacterial small subunit ribosomal RNA", at positions 524 to 776 of the family's 1533-position model. The record is from RNAcentral.
CACGGAGGAUGUGAGCGUUAUCCGGAUUUAUUGGGUUUAAAGGGUGCGCAGGCGGCACGGCAAGCCGGCGGUCAAAUCGCGGGGCUCAACCCCGCCCAGCCGUCGGAACUGCCGGGCUAGAGUGGGCGAGAAGUGCGCGGAAUGCGUGGUGUAGCGGUGAAAUGCAUAGAUAUCACGCAGAACUCCGAUUGCGAAGGCAGCGCACCGGCGCCCUACUGACGCUCAGGCACGAAAGCGUGGGUAUCGAACAGG